GACAUACCUUAAUGUUGCCUCGGCGGAUCAGCCCGCGCCCCGUAAAACGGGACGGCCCGCCAGAGGACCCAAACUCUAAUGUUUCUUAUUGUAACUUCUGAGUAAAACAAACAAAUAAAUCAAAACUUUCAACAACGGAUCUCUUGGUUCUGGCAUCGAUGAAGAACGCAGCAAAAUGCGAUAAGUAAUGUGAAUUGCAGAAUUCAGUGAAUCAUCGAAUCUUUGAACGCACAUUGCGCCCGCUGGUAUUCCGGCGGGCAUGCCUGUUCGAGCGUCAUUUCAACCCUCAAACCCCCGGGUUUGGUGUUGGGGAUCGGCUCUGCCUCACGGCGGUGCCGCCCCCGAAAUACAUUGGCGGUCUCGCUGCAGCCUCCAUUGCGUAGUAGCUAACACCUCGCAACUGGAACGCGGCGCGGCCAUGCCGUAAAACCCCAACUUCUGAAUGUUGACCUCGGAUCAGGUAGGAAUACCCGCUGAACUUAAGCAUAUCAAUAA
RNAcentral lists this ribosomal RNA (495 nucleotides) under Fusarium sp. UASWS1120. RNAcentral describes it as "eukaryotic LSU rRNA". The stretch from base 124 to 277 matches the Rfam family "5.8S ribosomal RNA". Lineage: Eukaryota; Fungi; Ascomycota; Sordariomycetes; Hypocreales; Nectriaceae. The record is from RNAcentral.